RNAcentral lists this transfer RNA (72 nucleotides) under Alligator mississippiensis (American alligator). RNAcentral's name for it is "tRNA-Cys (GCA) (tRNA-Cys-GCA-15-1)". It matches the Rfam family "tRNA". From Rfam's summary of the family: Transfer RNA (tRNA) molecules are approximately 80 nucleotides in length. Their secondary structure includes four short double-helical elements and three loops (D, anti-codon, and T loops). Further hydrogen bonds mediate the characteristic L-shaped molecular structure. tRNAs have two regions of fundamental functional importance: the anti-codon, which is responsible for specific mRNA codon recognition, and the 3' end, to which the tRNAs corresponding amino acid is attached (by aminoacyl-tRNA synthetases). tRNAs cope with the degeneracy of the genetic code in two manners: having more than one tRNA (with a specific anti-codon) for a particular amino acid; and 'wobble' base-pairing, i.e. permitting non-standard base-pairing at the 3rd anti-codon position. Lineage: Eukaryota; Metazoa; Chordata; Crocodylia; Alligatoridae. The record is from Rfam by way of RNAcentral.
GGGGGCAUACCUCAGUAGCAGAGUGUUUGACUGCAGAUCAACAGGUCCCUGGUUCAAAUCCAGGUGCCUCCU